This 277-nucleotide ribosomal RNA is filed under the name uncultured bacterium. Its description in RNAcentral is "partial 16S ribosomal RNA". It matches the Rfam family "Bacterial small subunit ribosomal RNA", at positions 28 to 322 of the family's 1533-position model. The record is from RNAcentral.
GAUGAACGCUGGCGGCGUGCCUAAUACAUGCAAGUCGAGCGGUAAGGCCACUUCGGUGGUACACGAGCGGCGGACGGCAGAGUAACGCGUAGGAAUCUACCCCGAAGUGAGGGAUAAGCACCAGAAAUGGUGUCUAAUACCACAUGUGGUCUUCGGACUAAAGCUUUAUGUGCUUUGGGAAGAGCCUGCGUAUGAUUAGCUUGUUGGUAAGGUAAUGGCUUACCAAGGCGACGAUCAUUAGCUGGUCUGAGAGGAUGAUCAGCCUGACUGGGACUGA